CGGACACGCCGCGUGAGUGAUGAAGGUUUCGGAUCGUAAAACUCUGUUGUUAGGGAAGAACAAUGAUAUAACUGAUGGCACCUUGACGGUACCUAACCAGAAAGCCACGGCUAACUACGUGCCAGCAGCCGCGGUAAUACGUAGGUGGCAAGCGUUGUCCGGAAUUAUUGGGCGUAAAGCGCUCGCAGGCGGUUCUUUAAGUCUGAUGUGAAAUCUCGCGGCUCAACCGCGAACGGUCAUUGGAAACUGGAGGACUUGAGUACAGAAGAGGAGAGUGGAAUUCCACGUGUAGCGGUGAAAUGCGUACAGAUGUGGAGGAACACCAGUGGCGAAGGCGACUCUCUGGUCUGUAACUGACGCUGAGGAGCGAAAGCGUGGGGAGCGAACAGGAUUAGAUACCCUGGUAGUCCACGCCGUAAACGAUGAGUGCUAGG
This 434-nucleotide ribosomal RNA is filed under the name uncultured bacterium. RNAcentral's name for it is "bacterial SSU rRNA". It matches the Rfam family "Bacterial small subunit ribosomal RNA", at positions 389 to 820 of the family's 1533-position model. The record is from RNAcentral.